Molecule: long non-coding RNA, 412 nt
Filed under: Brassica rapa (field mustard)
Lineage: Eukaryota; Viridiplantae; Streptophyta; Magnoliopsida; Brassicales; Brassicaceae
Description: long non-coding RNA (BRAP_LNC006921)
Source: RNAcentral
UCAAACUCGCAGAGACAGAGGAGGAGAAACAAGUCAGUUUCAGGUUUAUAUUGAUAAUGGAAAACUCAAGGUGGAGUUUAGAGAGUUACCUGUGAGCAUAGAUGCGAGGCAGAAGUUUCAGCUCAAGGUGGAGUAGCUGAAACACAAGAACAAUUCACUCAAAGGUAUUAUGUAGUCGGAUGAAGAAGUUUAAAGUUUAAGGAUGACCUGAGAAAACGUCUUAAACAGCAAGAGAAGCUGAAUGGAGACGAGUAUCUAGGUCGGGGAAAUAAGAAAUGGAUCACCGGAGAGGAGAGAACGUCGUAAACAGCUGCUAUGGUGGACGAUAAUCACCAAGGAGAGCUGAAGGGAGACGAGUAUUCCAGUCGGGAAAACAAACCAGAUCAUCAAAUAAGUAUAACAUCACAGGCAC